This 241-nucleotide ribosomal RNA is filed under the name uncultured Staphylococcus sp. Its description in RNAcentral is "partial 16S ribosomal RNA". It matches the Rfam family "Bacterial small subunit ribosomal RNA", at positions 99 to 334 of the family's 1533-position model. Lineage: Bacteria; Bacillati; Bacillota; Bacilli; Caryophanales; Staphylococcaceae. The record is from RNAcentral.
CGGACGGGUGAGUAACACGUGGAUAACCUACCUAUAAGACUGGGAUAACUUCGGGAAACCGGAGCUAAUACCGGAUAAUAUAUUGAACCGCAUGGUUCAAUAGUGAAAGACGGUUUUGCUGUCACUUAUAGAUGGAUCCGCGCCGCAUUAGCUAGUUGGUAAGGUAACUGCUUACCAAGGCAACGAUGCGUAGCCGACCUGAGAGGGUGAUCGGCCACACUGGAACUGAGACACGGUCCAG